GUUAGGAAUAUUGGACAAUGGGCGCAAGCCUGAUCCAGCCAUGCCGCGUGAGUGAUGAAGGCCUUCGGGUUGUAAAGCUCUUUAGCCGAUGAUUAUAAUGACUGUAGUCGGAAAAUAAGCCCCGGCUAACUUCGUGCCAGCAGCCGCGGUAAUACGAAGGGGGCGAGCGUUAUUCGGAAUCACUGGGCGUAAAGCGUGCGUAGGCGGUUUUGUAAGUUAGGAGUGAAAGCCCAGGGCUCAACCCUGGAAUUGCUCUUAAAACUACAAGGCUAGAAUGUCGGAGAGGAUAGCGGAAUUUCCAGUGUAGCAGUGAAAUGCGUAGAUAUUGGAAGGAACACCAGUGGCGUAAGCGGCUAUCUGGACGACUAUUGACGCUGAGGCACGAAAGCGUGGGGAUCAAACAGGAUUAGAUACCCGGGUAGUCC
Molecule: ribosomal RNA, 425 nt
Filed under: uncultured bacterium
Lineage: Bacteria
Description: bacterial SSU rRNA
Rfam family: Bacterial small subunit ribosomal RNA
Source: RNAcentral